This is a long non-coding RNA of Haliotis rufescens (red abalone), 1355 nucleotides long. RefSeq lists it as uncharacterized. The record is from RefSeq and is a predicted model, not a curated record. The transcript is spliced from 2 exons. NCBI's taxonomy places the organism in Eukaryota, Metazoa, Mollusca, Gastropoda, Lepetellida, Haliotidae.
GAACUGUGAUGUCAAUUUAAUGAUAAAUCAGGGAUUCCAUUUAACGUGUCAGUCUGGAUACAGUAUCUCAGCAUGAACCGUCAACAGUGAACUACUGGCUAUCGUGUCCCUUUUACUUACAGGUGGAGUCAAUGAAACAAUGAAUGGACAACCUGAUGCUUGGAUAUUUGGGAUAUUUUGGAGGAGCGGAUGUCCUAUAUUUCCACGUCCAAGAAGGGGUGUCGCCGUGUGUGUCGUGGGAAGUGAGCUGUAUGGCGUAUUUAAAUCAAGCAGAAGAAAAGGACGGUGUCGCCAUGCAGAAAAAAAGCUGACGCAGAAAGUAAUUAACGACCUGGAAAGAAGAGAGUUCAGAGCCAAGAUAGAGAAAGAAGAAUCUGCUAAAAUUGAGAUAUUUCAGAAUUACAGCCCAUGUGGAGAAUGUGCGGAAAUCUUUAGCAUGGUUCUAAAACAAUUACAUACUUUUAACCCAAAUGUCACCCUACACGUUCAUUUCGUGUGCUUGUACAAGAUAUUUUGGAACAUGGAAGGUUCAAGGCCACACUUUAUCACACCAGAGGAUCACAACAAGAACCUUAAAGGAUUGUUGGAUCUCAAAACGAUGGGAAUACAAAUGAAAUCAUUCACUUCUCAAACAUGGGCACAUCUAUGGAACAUAUGUAUGUCUGACACAAAUAGGCCAGUUCCUGCAGUUGAAGGUUAUCCAGAAUUGUUCGGACGACACAGACGAGAAAUAGCUGAUAAAAAAACAGCUGAAACAUUUCAAAAGAUUAUUCGAGAACCACAGUUUUGCCUGAAAUAGAUUCUAGCCUUAGAACACUAUUCAUAUUCACGUAAUCAUCUUGACAAGUAUUGUUAUUGUCAACUUAAAUCUUAGAAAUAUAUGCUACUAAAUCGUUUCAGAUCAUUCAACAGUGACUCAAACUUAAAAGAUUAUUUAUGUGCAAAAACUGAAUUCAGAAAGAAGUGUAAAACUAAGCAAAAUGAGUAUAAAAUACAUAUGAGUCAGAAAUUAACCGAGGCUAUAAAUAUGAAUGAUUUUAAAGAGUUCUGGAAGACUAUAAAGCACUAUUUGAGAAGUAACGCACGACAAGGUGAUAUAACCCCUGACACUUGGUUUAGAUAUUUUAAGGAUUUAUUAAAUCCAGCUUUUAUCAGAGAUGUGAAUGAAUUUGAUAAAUCAGUUCAGGAAUUUUUAGAUUCCCAUUCAUGUCAACAUUGUAAUGAUGUGCCUUUUACUGACUAGCUCUUAUCAGGUGAAAUUACUGAAAAUGAAAUUAAACAAGCUUUAAAUGAUUUAAAAGUGGGUAAAGCAGCCGGUGAGGAUGGUAUACCCCCCGAAUAUAUUAAAAGUAUAA